AUUGAACGCUGGCGGCAUGCUUUACACAUGCAAGUCGAACGGCAGCACGAAAGAGCUUGCUCUUUUGGUGGCGAGUGGCGAACGGGUGAGUAAUGCAUCGGAACGUACCGAGUAAUGGGGGGUAACUGUCCGAAAGGAUAGCUAAUACCGCAUACGCUUUGAGAAGGAAAGUGGGGGCUCUUCGGACCUCACGUUAUUCGAGCGGCCGAUGUCUGAUUAGCUAGUUGGUGGGGUAAAGGCCUACCAAGGCGACGAUCAGUAGCGGGUCUGAGAGGAUGAUCCGCCACACUGGGACUGAGACACGGCCCAGACUCCUACGGGAGGCAGCAGUGGGGAAUUUUGGACAAUGGGCGCAAGCCUGAUCCAGCCAUGCCGCGUGUCUGAAGAAGGCCUUCGGGUUGUAAAGGACUUUUGUUAGGGAAGAAAAGGAUAGUGUUAAUACCAUUAUCUGCUGACGGUACCUAAAGAAUAAGCACCGGCUAACUACGUG
RNAcentral lists this ribosomal RNA (490 nucleotides) under uncultured bacterium. RNAcentral describes it as "partial 16S ribosomal RNA". It matches the Rfam family "Bacterial small subunit ribosomal RNA", at positions 30 to 507 of the family's 1533-position model. The record is from RNAcentral.